UACGGAGGGUGCAAGCGUUAAUCGGAAUUACUGGGCGUAAAGCGCAUGUAGGCUGUAUGGCAAGUUGGGGGUGAAAUCCCACGGCUCAACCGUGGAACUGCCUUCAAAACUACCAAACUAGAGUGCGAGAGAGGAUAGCGGAAUUCCAGGUGUAGGAGUGAAAUCCGUAGAUAUCUGGAAGAACAUCAGUGGCGAAGGCGGCUAUCUGGCUCGUAACUGACGCUGAGAUGCGAAAGCGUGGGUAGCAAACAGG
This 253-nucleotide ribosomal RNA is filed under the name Mailhella massiliensis. RNAcentral describes it as "partial 16S ribosomal RNA". It matches the Rfam family "Bacterial small subunit ribosomal RNA", at positions 524 to 776 of the family's 1533-position model. Lineage: Bacteria; Pseudomonadati; Thermodesulfobacteriota; Desulfovibrionia; Desulfovibrionales; Desulfovibrionaceae. The record is from RNAcentral.